RNAcentral lists this ribosomal RNA (484 nucleotides) under uncultured bacterium. RNAcentral describes it as "partial 16S ribosomal RNA". It matches the Rfam family "Bacterial small subunit ribosomal RNA", at positions 30 to 507 of the family's 1533-position model. The record is from RNAcentral.
AUUGAACGCUGGCGGCAGGCCUAACACAUGCAAGUCGAGCGGAUGAAGGGAGCUUGCUCCUGGAUUCAGCGGCGGACGGGUGUGUAAUGCCUAUGAAUCUGCCUGGUAGUGGGGGAUAACGUCCGUAAACGGGCGCUAAUACCGCAUACGUCCUGAGUGAGAAAGUGGGGGAUCUUCGGACCUCACGCUAUCAGAUGAGCCUAGGUCGGAUUAGCUAGUUGGUGGGGUAAAGGCCUACCAAGGCGACGAUCCGUAACUGGUCUGAGAGGAUGAUCAGUCACACUGGAACUGAGACACGGUCCAGACUACUACGGGAGGCAGCAGUGGGGAAUAUUGGACAAUGGGCGAAAGCCUGAUCCAGCAAUGCCGCGUGUGUGAAGAAGGUCUUCGGAUUGUAAAGCACUUUAAGUUGGGAGGAAGGGAAGUAAGUUAAUACCUUGCUGUUUUGACGUUACCAACAGAAUAAGCACCGGCUAACUUCGUG